This 270-nucleotide long non-coding RNA is filed under the name Lathyrus oleraceus (garden pea). RNAcentral describes it as "Pisum sativum (pea) long non-coding RNA (PSAT_LNC041954)". The record is from RNAcentral. Lineage: Eukaryota; Viridiplantae; Streptophyta; Magnoliopsida; Fabales; Fabaceae.
GAGAAUUUCACUCAUAUGCUCAAUGUUUUCAACCUAGACCUAUCCCAACUUCAAUUUUGAACAUGAGUAACCACACCUACUCAUAUAACAUUCAACACAUCAAUUACGACACAUAUUUGACAUAUUAACAUUAAUUUAUCACAAAAUCAUCAAUUUAUUCCAAAUCUAAGAACAUGUUCAUCAAACAAAAACCCCAUGAACAUAAUUCUCUUUUACAUAAUUCUCUUUUUCUAUUUAUUAAACCUUAUUUCAUUUAUAAUUCUACUUUUU